AGAGGAAAGCCAGUGUCUGUGGGCCAAAGAGAGAAGAACCGGGAGGAGAGGGGAAGGAUGGUGUGACUCAGAGCUCAAGUGAUCGUCGCAGCAACGCUGAGAGGGAAGUGGAGUCUCCAGUUACAGAUGAUGGAACCAAAGGGCAGAGGACGAGAAACUCGCCGCAGGUCACAGUCCUGCAGCUGGUCGGUGGUGGUGUUGGGAUUCGAGACCGAUAUUCUCCCAUGUUCCCCCCUCUCGAUCCGCAAUAGAGAAAUGGAAAGAGACCAGAAGACACCCACAGCCCAAGGGACAGAGAUGGAGUGAGAACACGAGCUCGGGCAAGGCACAGGCGCUAUUCUAAUACUCAGAUCCUUGGCGUGUGUGAAUGUACUCACUUCUCCCAAAACCCUAUGAAAGGCAGAGGUUCAUCAUCCUCACGAUACAGAUGAGGAAACUGAGUCACAGAGAAGCUAGGUAAGCUGGCCAAGGAAUAAACAUGGUAAGUCUGGCUCCACAGCCUUCGCUCACAGCCCCAAUGUCCCUAGAAGAUUCCAGAGGCGUCAGACUAGGCCCUGUUGGCAAGUGAGAGGUGGUGUCAGUGCUGCUUGUUCUGCCUGAAUGUGACCCAAUCUCUUGCUUUUUCAGGUAUAGCCAAGCAUUAAGGAGAAAAAGCUGAGCAAAAGGAGCCAAGAACAGAAAAAGUUCUAUGUACUUUGAGAGUAAACAAAAAUGAGAAGCGCAUGAAUAUG
This is a non-coding RNA of Microcebus murinus (gray mouse lemur), 731 nucleotides long. NCBI's taxonomy places the organism in Eukaryota, Metazoa, Chordata, Mammalia, Primates, Cheirogaleidae. The record is from RefSeq and is a predicted model, not a curated record.